GAUGAACGCUAGCUACAGGCUUAACACAUGCAAGUCGAGGGGAAACGACAUCGCAAGCUUGCUUUUGAUGGGCGUCGACCGGCGCACGGGUGAGUAACGCGUAUCCAACCUGCCCACCACUUGGGGAUAACCUUGCGAAAGUAAGACUAAUACCCAAUGAUAUCCCACGAAGACAUCUGAAUGGGAUUAAAGAUUUAUCGGUGAUGGAUGGGGAUGCGUCUGAUUAGCUUGUUGGCGGGGUAACGGCCCACCAAGGCAACGAUCAGUAGGGGUUCUGAGAGGAAGGUCCCCCACAUUGGAACUGAGACACGGUCCAAACUCCUACGGGAGGCAGCAGUGAGGAAUAUUGGUCAAUGGGCGAGAGCCUGAACCAGCCAAGUAGCGUGCAGGAAGACGGCCCUAUGGGUUGUAAACUGCUUUUAUAAGGGAAUAAAGUGGGUCACGUGUGACUUUUUGCAUGUACCUUAUGAAUAAGAACCGGCUAAUUCCGUG
Molecule: ribosomal RNA, 492 nt
Filed under: uncultured bacterium
Lineage: Bacteria
Description: partial 16S ribosomal RNA
Rfam family: Bacterial small subunit ribosomal RNA
Source: RNAcentral